AUGCUGAAAGUAGACUGGGUCAUGGCAAAGGGUUCAAAUGGACCGCCCCCCACCCCAUCUCAGAAGUUAUCGUUCCGGAGCCGAGCAACGUCUGUAUCCGCACUGUUCUUCAUGAAUUUUAACCCAAAUAUCAAAAAAACCAAAUGUCAUUCAAAUCCAAAGCUUCUGUCGUCAACAAGUCCCAACAAAUGGACGUGGCUUUGCUCCAAGACUUCUCUGUAUGGGUUUGCAAGGCUGCACUUUUGCAAUUCCAUUAUGCUGCUGGAAAAAUACACCCUGAAAACAAGAGUCUCAACAAGAGUUUGGAAUGGUUUUCCAGUGUAUUGUGACAAUUUUUUUGUCUGAUUCUUGUCUAGCUGGUUGUCCAAAGCUUACUUUUGAAUACAGUGUGAAAAGCUGUAUCUUUUGUGGAUGUAACAAAAUAGAAAAGUAGUCUGCAGCACAAUAUGUCGUGGACACGUGAAAGCAUUCACGCAUUCUUUUCUUGUAGACCAUAGCUCACAGCCCUACCCUGCACAUCAGGUUAAUGGGCCUGCCUGUGUAGAAGGACAAGCAUGUCCAAGCUCAUUUUGAAAUGUUAAACCAAUACAAUAUGCUCGGGGAGCAAAACCAUUUUCUUUAAUGGAGGUUUCCAGCAAGGCUUACAUAAGAGAAACAGUUCCUAUCCUUUCAAUCUUUUCUCUCCAAUUCCUCGUCUCUGUGCUCAUCACAAGGCCUGAGUAAUGUUCCUAUGCACUUGUUAGCAUGUUUUACUGGUAGAAAAUCGUUUGUUCAGAGAAGUUGCCCCCUCUGUAUUUAGUUUUAUUUUUGUUCAAAUGCAUUAGGCAGGGAGUUUGUAAGAAGCAAGGAUGAGCAGAGAGAUAUAUGUUUUACUGGUGGAAAUAAGAAUAAAAGCUAGAAGCAGAUUUUAAAACAUUAGCUUAGCCAUUGAUUUCUAUAUCCUGACAGGCAUGGAGACAGCAGCCUCCUGUAAAAUGACAAAACUGUUUUUUUAUCCAUUUUUUCCUUUCUGUUCUCUACCAGACAAAUCCCUUUGAAAUCUCUCAAGCAUUUCAUUGAUUGCAGAAAUGCAAACAAAGUUAGCACACAACACAUUCCACGUGUUUUCCUCAAAGCCCUUCAAACUGUAUCAUGUUGGCUUUCAGAGUGGGUGUCUGCAGGAUCAAGUGGCCGAUAUUCAAUUAAACUGAUACAAAGUUUUCCACUGGCCGGCCAAUCCAAAAGAUAACUAGAUUCCAACUCCCGUGAGAAAUGACGAUGAGCUGUCAUUAUCUCGGUGCAUUGAAAUGAGACUGCCUCCACCCAGAAUAGCACAGGCCCCUCCUGGCUUUGUUGCGACACAUUCUCCGUCUUUGUAACCACUGUGUCCAGAAACACUCACAUGCAGAAAAACUGAAGGAGAAAUGCAGUCCAUGGGUUUACACAGCAUCACAAUAGUGUUACUUGGUCUCGAGCAGAUACCAUCUGAAAGACAAUGUAUUACUUCAAAAAAUUAUAUUCUGUUUAUGGUGUGUGCUCCUAUUACUCACCAGGCCAAAUGUACAGUCCCUGUCUCUGUUUUGAUGUUGAACUGGGCAAAAAUAAAUGACAUGAAUAAAUAAAUAAAACAAGUGUAUCAGAAAUGGUUGAAAUACUGUGUACAUAUAUUUGAACUUUCAGUUUCUAAUUUAUAAAAAAUAAGCUUUAGCUCUUGGAGUACUUAUUUUAUUUUUUCCUUUCAUGCGUAGCUUUGUGUUUUUAUUUUCUAUUUCUGUAAAGUGUGUAAAUAUAUCUUUAUGAUAAUAAGUAAUAUUAAAAAUCUUAUUUUAAGAGAAAGGUGUCAGGUGUUUUCAUUUCCUUCAUGACAUGUUG
This 1851-nucleotide long non-coding RNA is filed under the name Oryzias sinensis (Chinese medaka). Its description in RNAcentral is "lncRNA (ENSOSIG00000022070.1)". Lineage: Eukaryota; Metazoa; Chordata; Actinopteri; Beloniformes; Adrianichthyidae. The record is from RNAcentral.